RNAcentral lists this non-coding RNA (31 nucleotides) under Mus musculus (house mouse). Lineage: Eukaryota; Metazoa; Chordata; Mammalia; Rodentia; Muridae. The record is from RNAcentral.
UGGACAGUUGAGAAUUUCGUCUUUUCUCCGU